AUACGAAGGGUGCAAGCGUUAAUCGGAAUUACCGGGCGUAAAGCGUCGCGUAGGUGGUUCAGUAAGUUAGGAGUGAAAGCCCCGGGCUUAACCUGGGAAUUGCUUCUAAAACUGCUGAGCUAGAGUACGGUAGAGGGUGGUGGAAUUUCCUGUGUAGCGGUGAAAUGCGUAGAUAUAGGAAGGAACAUCAGUGGCGAAGGCGACCACCUGGACUGAUACUGACACUGAGGUGCGAAAGCGUGGGGAGC
RNAcentral lists this ribosomal RNA (248 nucleotides) under uncultured bacterium. Its description in RNAcentral is "partial 16S ribosomal RNA". It matches the Rfam family "Bacterial small subunit ribosomal RNA", at positions 523 to 769 of the family's 1533-position model. The record is from RNAcentral.